Molecule: ribosomal RNA, 1547 nt
Filed under: marine metagenome
Description: bacterial LSU rRNA
Rfam family: Bacterial large subunit ribosomal RNA
Source: RNAcentral
UAGAGCACUAAAUGGGCUAGGGGGAAGAGAUUCUUACCAAACCUAAUAAAACUCCGAAUGCUAAACAUUGUUCUUCAACAGACAGACUGUGGGUGCUAAGGUCCAUGGUCGAGAGGGAAAGAGCCCAGACCACCAGAUAAGGUCCCCAAAUUAUGAUUAAGUGUGAAAGGAUGUGGAAAUUCCUUAACAGCCGGGAGGUUGGCUUAGAAGCAGCCAUCCUUUAAAGAUAGCGUAACAGCUCACCGGUCUAAUAGAGUUUCUGCGCCGAAGAUGUAACGGGGCUAAAAUCAUAUACCGAAUCUGUGGGUUUAUAAAACUUUCGAGUUUUAUAAGCGGUAGCGGAACGUUCUGUAAGCCUGUGAAGGGAUACCCGUGAGGGAUCCUGGAGGUAUCAGAAGUGCGAAUGCUGACAUAAGUAACGAUAAAAGAAGUGAAAAACUUCUUCGCCGAAAAUCCAAGGGUUUCUGCGCAAGGUUAAUCCGCGCAGAGUUAGUCGGCACCUAAGGCGAGGGCGAAAGCCGUAGUCGAUGGAAAUAAGGUUAAUAUUCCUUAACCAGAUGGUAGUGACGGAUCUUGUAAGUUGUGUACUCUUAAUGGAUUGAGUAUGCCGCGAAAAGGUUCCAAGAAAUAGCUCCAUCAUUAGACCGUACCCUAAACCGACACAGGUGGAUUAAUAGAGUAUAUUUAGGCGCUUGAGAGAAUGAUGUUGAAGGAACUCGGCAAAAUGCUUCCGUAACUUCGGGAUAAGGAAGACCUUCUUGUAGGCAACUAUAGAAGGGUGGCACAAGCCAGGGAGAAGCGACUGUUUAUCAAAAACACAGGGCUCUGCUAACACGUAAGUGGAUGUAUAGGGUCUGACGCCUGCCCGGUGCUGGAAGGUUAAUGCGGUUGGUGCAAGCUAACUUCUGAAGCCCCAGUAAACGGCGGCCGUAACUAUAACGGUCCUAAGGUAGCGAAAUUCCUUGUCGGGUAAGUUCCGACCUGCAUGAAUGGCGUAACGAUUUCUCCGCUGUCUCCAACAUCAACUCAGUGAAAUUGAAUUCUCCGUGAAGAUGCGGAGUUCGCGUAGUUAGACGGAAAGACCCCGUGCACCUUUACUGCAACUUUACAUUGGUAUUAGGAAAAACAUAUUUAGCAUAGGAGGGAGACAUUGAAGCAAAGGCGUCAGCUUUUGUGGAGUCACCAGUGAAAUACCUCUUUUGUUUUUCUUGGUAUCUAACUGAUUGCCGUUAUCCGGCAUCAAGACAUUGUAUGGUGGGUAGUUUGACUGGGGCGGUCGCCUCCCAAAUAGUAACGGAGGCGUGCGAAGGUAGGCUCAGAACGGUCAGAAAUCGUUCGUAGAGUGCAAUGGCAUAAGCCUGCCUGACUGUGAGACUGACAAGUCGAGCAGAGACGAAAGUCGGUCAUAGUGAUCCGGUGGUUCUGAGUGGAAGGGCCAUCGCUCAACGGAUAAAAGGUACGCCGGGGAUAACAGGCUGAUACUGCCCAAGAGCUCAUAUCGACGGCAGUGUUUGGCACCUCGAUGUCGGCUCAUCACAUCCUGGGGC